AUAGUACAUGACUCGUGAAUACAUAGCGUGCAUGUGGCAGACCCGGAGAACUGAAACAUCUAAGUACCCGGAGGAAGAGAAAGAAAAAUCGAUUCCCUUAGUAGCGGCGAGCGAAAAGGGAAGAGCCCAAACCGAGGAGCUUGCUCCUCGGGGUUGUAGGACACUCAAUACGGAGUUACAAAGGAAUGUAUUAGACGAAGCGACCUGGAAAGGUCCACCAAAGAAGGUAAUAGUCCUGUAAUCGAAAAUGCAUUCUCUCCUGAGUGGAUCCUGAGUACGGCGGAACACGUGAAAUUCCGUCGGAAUCUGGGAGGACCAUCUCCCAAGGCUAAAUACUCUCUAGUGACCGAUAGUGAACCAGUACCGUGAGGGAAAGGUGAAAAGCACCCCGGAAGGGGAGUGAAAGAGAACCUGAAACCAUGUGCCUACAAGUAGUCAGAGCCCGUUAAUGGGUGAUGGCGUGCCUUUUGUAGAAUGAACCGGCGAGUUACGUUACCAUGCAAGGUUAAGCAGUGAAUGUGGAGCCGCAGCGAAAGCGAGUCUGAAUAGGGCGAUGAGUAUGUUGACGUAGACCCGAAACCUGGUGAUCUACCCAUGUCCAGGGUGAAGGUAAGGUAAUACUUACUGGAGGCCCGAACCCACGUAUGUUGAAAAAUGCGGGGAUGAGGUGUGGGUAGCGGUGAAAUUCCAAUCGAACCAGGAGAUAGCUGGUUCUCUCCGAAAUAGCUUUAGGGCUAGCCUCGAACGUAUGAAUCUCGGAGGUAGAGCACUGUUUGAACUAGGGGCCCAUCCCGGGUUACCGAAUUCAGACAAACUCCGAAUGCCGAUGAUUUUAGUUCGGGAGUCAGACUGUGGGUGAUAAGAUCCAUCGUCGAGAGGGAAACAACCCAGACCGCCAGUUAAGGUCCCUAAGUAUCUGUUAAGUGGAAAAGGAUGUGGCGUUGCACAGACAACCAGGAUGUUGGCUCAGAAGCAGCCAUCAUUUAAAGAGUGCGUAAUAGCUCACUGGUCGAGUGGCGCUGCGCCGAAAAUGUAUCGGGGCUAAACAGAUCACCGAAACUGCGGAUUGACACCUAUGGUGUCAGUGGUAGGAGAGCGUUCUAAUUGCGCUGAAGCAUGACCGGAAGGACGUGUGGAGCGAUUAGAAGUGAGAAUGCCGGUAUGAGUAGCGAAAGAAGAGUGAGAAUCUCUUCCACCGUAUGACUAAGGUUUCCUGAGGAAGGCUCGUCCGCUCAGGGUUAGUCGGGUCCUAAGCCGAGGCUGAAAAGCGUAGGCGAUGGAAAACAGGUUGAUAUUCCUGUACCACCUUUCCGCCAUUUGAGUGAUGGGGGGACGCAGUAAGAUAGGGUAAGCGCACUGUUGGUUAUGUGCGUCGAAGCAGUGAGGCGUGAAACGAGGCAAAUCCCGUUUCUAUAACGUUGAGCUGUGACCGCGAGGGAUUUAUCCCGAAGUUCUCGAUUCUACGCUGCCAAGAAAAGCCUCUAACGAGGCGGAAGGUGCCCGUACCGCAAACCGACACAGGUAGUCGAGGAGAGAAUCCUAAGGUGAUCGAGUGAACUCUCGUUAAGGAACUCGGCAAAAUGACCCCGUAACUUCGGGAGAAGGGGUGCUCUUUAAGGUUUACGCUUUGAAGAGCCGCAGUGAAUAGGCCCAGGCGACUGUUUAUCAAAAACACAGGUCUCUGCUAAACCGUAAGGUGACGUAUAGGGGCUGACGCCUGCCCGGUGCUGGAAGGUUAAGAGGAAGGGUUAGCUUCGGCGAAGCUCUGAAUUGAAGCCCCAGUAAACGGCGGCCGUAACUAUAACGGUCCUAAGGUAGCGAAAUUCCUUGUCGGGUAAGUUCCGACCCGCACGAAAGGCGCAACGAUCUGGGCACUGUCUCAACGAGAGACUCGGUGAAAUUAUACUAUGCGUGAAGAUGCGCAUUACCCGCGACAGGACGGAAAGACCCCGUGGAGCUUUACUGUAACCUGAUAUUGAAUUCCGGUUCAGUCUGUACAGAAUAGGUAGGAGCCUUUGAACUCGGAGCGCCAGCUUCGAGGGAGGUGUUCGUGGGAUACUACCCUGAUUGGAUUGGACUUCUAACCCAUGCCCCUUAGCGGGGCAGGCGACAGUGUCAGGUAGGCAGUUUGACUGGGGCGGUCGCCUCCUAAAGUGUAACGGAGGCGCCCAAAGGUUCCCUCAGAAUGGUUGGACAUCAUUCGCAGAGUGUAAAGGCACAAGGGAGCUUGACUGUGAGACUUACAAGUCGAACAGGGUCGAAAGACGGGCUUAGUGAUCCGGUGGUUCCGCAUGGAAGGGCCAUCGCUCAACGGAUAAAAGCUACCCCGGGGAUAACAGGCUUAUCUCCCCCAAGAGUUCACAUCGACGGGGAGGUUUGGCACCUCGAUGUCGGCUCAUCGCAUCCUGGAGCUGUAGUCGGUUCCAAGGGUUGGGCUGUUCGCCCAUUAAAGCGGUACGCGAGCUGGGUUCAGAACGUCGUGAGACAGUUCGGUCCCUAUCCGUCGUGGGCGUAGGAAAUUUGAGAGGAGCUGUCCUUAGUACGAGAGGACCGGGAUGGACACACCGCUGGUGUAUCAGUUGUCUCGCCAGAGGCAUCGCUGAGUAGCUACGUGUGGACGGGAUAAAUGCUGAAAGCAUCUAAGCAUGAAGCCCCCCUCAAGAUGAGAUUUCCCAAUU
This 2678-nucleotide ribosomal RNA is filed under the name Planococcaceae bacterium Storch 2/2-2. Its description in RNAcentral is "Bacterial large subunit ribosomal RNA". It matches the Rfam family "Bacterial large subunit ribosomal RNA". Lineage: Bacteria; Bacillati; Bacillota; Bacilli; Caryophanales; Caryophanaceae. The record is from Rfam by way of RNAcentral.